This 253-nucleotide ribosomal RNA is filed under the name uncultured bacterium. RNAcentral's name for it is "partial 16S ribosomal RNA". It matches the Rfam family "Bacterial small subunit ribosomal RNA", at positions 524 to 776 of the family's 1533-position model. The record is from RNAcentral.
UACGUAGGGGGCAAGCGUUGUCCGGAUUUACUGGGCGUAAAGGGCGUGCAGGCGGUUUUUUAAGUUCAGGGUGAAAGCUCCCGGCUCAACUGGGAGAGGUCCUUGGAUACUGGCAGACUUGAGGAGGGUAGAGGAGAGUGGAAUUCCCGGUGUAGUGGUGAUAUGCGUAGAUAUCGGGAGGAACACCAGUGGCGAAGGCGGCUCUCUGGGCCCUACCUGACGCUGAGACGCGAAAGCGUGGGGAGCGAACAGG